Molecule: ribosomal RNA, 463 nt
Filed under: uncultured bacterium
Lineage: Bacteria
Description: bacterial SSU rRNA
Rfam family: Bacterial small subunit ribosomal RNA
Source: RNAcentral
CUGGCGGCGUGCUUCAUACAUGCAAGUCGAACGAGAAUCUGGCUUCGGUCAGAGGAAAGUGGCGGACGGGUGAGUAAUGUGUAGAGAAUCUGCCCUUUAGUGGGGGACAACAGUUGGAAACGACUGCUAAUACCCCAUAUGCGCGUAGCUGAGAUGCUAUUCGUGAAAACUCCGGUGCUAAAGGAUGAGUCUGCAUCUGAUUAGCUAGUUGGCGGUGUAAUGGACCACCAAGGCGACGAUCAGUAGCUGGUUUGAGAGGAUGAUCAGCCACAAUGGGACUGAGACACGGCCCAUACUCCUACGGGAGGCAGCAGUAGGGAAUUUUGCGCAAUGGGGGAAACCCUGACGGCCAGCAACGCCGCGUGAUUGAAUAAGCCCUUCGGGGUGUAAAGAUCUGUCAGUAGGGACGAAACUUGACGGUACCUACAGAGGAAGCAUCGGCUAACUCCGUGCCAGCCGCGGC